Molecule: ribosomal RNA, 253 nt
Filed under: uncultured bacterium
Lineage: Bacteria
Description: partial 16S ribosomal RNA
Rfam family: Bacterial small subunit ribosomal RNA
Source: RNAcentral
UACGUAGGGGGCUAGCGUUGUUCGGAAUUACUGGGCGUAAAGGGCGCGUAGGCGGUUUGCUAAGUUGGAUGUGAAAACUCUGGGCUUAACCCAGAGCCUGCAUCCAAAACUGGCAAACUUGAGUACUGGAGGGGAAAGCGGAAUUCCUGGUGUAGCGGUGAAAUGCGUAGAUAUCAGGAGGAACACCGGUGGCGAAGGCGGCUUUCUGGACAGUAACUGACGCUGAGGCGCGAAAGCUAGGGGAGCAAACAGG